RNAcentral lists this ribosomal RNA (384 nucleotides) under uncultured bacterium. RNAcentral's name for it is "bacterial SSU rRNA". It matches the Rfam family "Bacterial small subunit ribosomal RNA", at positions 94 to 507 of the family's 1533-position model. The record is from RNAcentral.
AGUGGCGACGGGUGAGUAACACGUUGGAACCUGCCCCAAAGUGAGGAAUAAGCCACCGAAAGGUGGUCUAAUACUUCAUAAUAUCCAUCUCGUAUGGAUUAAAGCUUUAUGCGCUUUGGGAGGGGCCUGCGUAACAUUAGCUUGUUGGUGAGGUAAAAGCUCACCAAGGCUUCGAUGUUUAACUGGUUUGAGAGGAUGACCAGUCACACUGGGACUGAGAUACGGCCCAGACUCCUACGGGAGGCAGCAGUAAGGAAUCUUCCACAAUGGGGCAACCCUGAUGGAGCAAUACCGCGUGCAGGAUGAAGCGUUUCGGCGUGUAAACUGCUUUUAUCACCGAAGAUUAUGACUGUAGGUGAAGAAUAAGGACCGGCUAACUACGUG